This 301-nucleotide ribosomal RNA is filed under the name uncultured bacterium. RNAcentral describes it as "partial 16S ribosomal RNA". It matches the Rfam family "Bacterial small subunit ribosomal RNA", at positions 509 to 808 of the family's 1533-position model. The record is from RNAcentral.
CAGUAGCCACGGUAAUACGUAGGUCCCGAGCGUUGUCCGGAUUUAUUGGGCGUAAAGCGAGCGCAGGCGGUUAGAUAAGUCUGAAGUUAAAGGCUGUGGCUUAACCAUAGUACGCUUUGGAAACUGUUUAACUUGAGUGCAAGAGGGGAGAGUGGAAUUCCAUGUGUAGCGGUGAAAUGCGUAGAUAUAUGGAGGAACACCGGUGGCGAGAGCGGCUCUCUGGCUUGUAACUGACGCUGAGGCUCGAAAGCGUGGGGAGCAAACAGGAUUAGAUACCCCAGUAGUCCCUGUCUCUUAUACA